AUGUUCAUUCACAUAUGUCUGGUUUACCCACACAAGGGCACAAUGAUGAAUUUUACGGAGGAUGCUCCUGUAAAGAAAGGCUUUGUUCUCUUAACAAGGAUGGAAAGUAUAACGGCAUACAAAAACCAACGUGGACAACCCAAAUCUGCAACUCCAGAACAAUCUGACAUUCCAGUGUCUGCUAAUGACUUGUGUUCCCUUGCUGAAUGGCCAUCCCAUGCUCGCCGCAACCGUGCGCGACUACAGGAUGAAGCUGGUGGACAGAAGAAGAAAGGGCGAGGUGUUCUAAAAGGUUUUAAAGCAUCUAAGAAGCGUUUUGCCAAUGGAUCUGCAAAGCUAAAUAUUACAUUCUCUGAAAAAUUGGGUGGUACAGUAGGAAUGAACUAUCGUUCGUUCAAGGAUGACGUGGUAGUCAUAAUGAAAAGAAAGUUACCACUCAUUGGAGUGAGGACGUGGUCGGACAUUCACCCUACCAUUCAUCGACUCAUUGUUGCAGAUAUAAUAGACAGAUGGGACCUGGAAGAUACACCAGAAACAGAAGAAAAAGUUCUCAAAAUUGCGAAAGAGAGAUAUAGAGGCUGGCGAUCAACUCUAAGCUCCACUUACAAGGCAUACAAAACAGAUGCAGCUAGAUUGGCUAAUCUGCCUGAAGAUUUACAACCAGAAGAGUGGGAAUGGAUGAUUGAGUACUUUGGCACUGAUUCAAAAUUUCAGGAACGCAGCCAAAAGAACGCUGAUAACCGUAAGAAACAGAAGACAAAACAUAUAAUCGGAUCAAAAUCUUACUCGGAAGUUAGUUUUGAGAAGAGAAACUUAGAAACUGGAGAAGAGCCAGAUUGUAUUGCUCUAUGGUAA
This 855-nucleotide ribosomal RNA is filed under the name Triticum aestivum (bread wheat). Its description in RNAcentral is "partial small subunit ribosomal RNA". Lineage: Eukaryota; Viridiplantae; Streptophyta; Magnoliopsida; Poales; Poaceae. The record is from RNAcentral.